This 191-nucleotide unclassified non-coding RNA is filed under the name uncultured Ganodermataceae. RNAcentral's name for it is "sequence contains ITS2". Lineage: Eukaryota; Fungi; Basidiomycota; Agaricomycetes; Polyporales; Polyporaceae. The record is from RNAcentral.
AAUCAUCAACCUAUAAACCUUUGUGGGUUUGUAGGCUUGGAUUUGGAGGCUUGUCGGCCUAACAGUCGGCUCCUCUUAAAUGCAUUAGCUUGAUUCCUUGCGGAUCGGCUCUCGGUGUGAUAAUUGUCUACGCCGCGACCGUGAAGCGUUUGGCGAGCUUCUAAUCGUCUUGUAUGAGACAACUUAUUGAC